Molecule: non-coding RNA, 1974 nt
Organism: Chrysemys picta bellii (western painted turtle)
Lineage: Eukaryota; Metazoa; Chordata; Testudines; Emydidae
Source: RefSeq, a predicted model, not a curated record
GUAGAACCUGAGGAUAAACAGUCACAAAAAGAGGUAAAAUUAAAAGGAUUCAUUCCACGUCUUUUAUUCUUCUAUGAGAACAUAAACAUCGUCUUUUCACGCACAGCAGCAUUACAAUAUUAAUUUAUUCCGAUUUAAGGAGAGUGUUUGCUGCUUUCUGACGGAGCUGGGGAGAGUUCUUCUGCGGUCGAAGACGAAGCCUGGGCGUCUUCCUCCCUCUGGGAGACGCAAGCCAAGGUGUUGGGGGAAGCCUCCUCGGUCUCUGUCCUCCCCGCUUCUGUUGGGACUGAAGGCAAAGAUGGAGCCGCAUCAAAACGAACUUGGGGCUGCGGUGUGAACUGGGAAGCAACAACUUGCCCAGCAUUGUAGCUCUUGGAAGUGCCAUAAGCUUGAGACAAGCGGAAGUAGCCUGGGACAGGAACCCCACUAGCGUUGUUCAUGGGACAGACCUCAGCGUUUAGCCUUGGAAAAGUAGAUAGAUCUGUGGCAGCUGCACCUUUAGGACAUUUGUCUGAAUCAUAGAGGCAGUAAGAGUUCUCCUCUUUAAUGUUUUGAGCAAAAGAGCAGGAGGUAGCCUGCUGGGUUUCAGGCUCUUCCAGGCGACAGGAUCUUGGGGGCUCUAGCCAGACCUCCAUCCCUGACAUGUAGGGAUGAGAAGUGGGGACCAUGCUUUGAGCAGCACCUUCAUUGCGUUUGCUCAAAACUGGGAAAAGUCCGCAGCUUUGCAACCCAUACGACAAAUCGGAUGCCUGUGGCAAAAAGACACUACUGUUGGGAUAGUAGCCGCCGCCUCCUCCUCCUCCGCCUCCUCCUCCUCCUUCCCCUCUGCCUGAGCUGAUCAAGGAGUCUACCAAAAAAGAGUUUGCAGCCGGGCUCUCUGAGCAUGACAUUGUUGUGGAAUAAUUUGGCGAAGGGAGCCGAUAGCCCUUUCUGGCUGACAUUUCUUGUGCAAAACAUGCUGAAUAUGAUUAGAGAUACCCCCGCACCACGGCAAAUGCUUACAGCCAAUGGAAACCCAAGCCCUACCAGCAACCCCUCCCAGUUUGGUUUCGUAUGCAGAGAGCUGGUCUCAGGUCGACCUCUGUAUUUAGAAUAUAUAUGUAUAUUAAUGUGUAAUAUCUAUUUCCAUAUAGACGCACACCUAAAUCUACCCAUAUCGAUAUCUAUAGGUAGAUAUAGGGUAUACGUGUAUGCGGAGAUACAGAUGCACACUGAAAAGUAUAAAACAAUUUCCUACCUUAUUUUAGUGUUAGCAUACGUUAUACUCUUCUAUUAUCACAUUCACUGCUAUAAAGUAGCAGAGCAGUCUGAUGUUUAUUAUUACCUAGGAUGAAGCGGGAUAUAAAUAAACCUUUUAUUAUCACUUCUUUUCCUACAGUUGUGCUUUCCGGAAGUAAGGCGUGCUCGCCUCCUUGCACAGCAUGUGUUUGUGAUGAUAUUAAUAAAGCCAGGAAUCCUCUGUUUUUACGGCUGGGGUCUGUGACAUUUUAUUUGAUUGCCUACUUUUUAAAAAAAAUGUUAUUAUUUAUCACGCACCAUUUGACGCUAUAAAGGAUUCUGGCUUCUGUAGCCUUAAAUUAUUAAGAAAUUAGCUAUUCCCAGACUAAUAUCACCACCAAAUGUGAAUUACUGUAAACUAGUCUGAAAUGUACUAGAGAUGAAUAGUUGUUGGCUAGAGUACUGAAGAAUCAAUUAAUAACUAAUUCCAUUGUGGCAGAAUAUUGUGAUUGCAUCUUCUAAUACUAUGGUUCACCUUGGAUUUGUCCCUAAAUCUGGUUAACGUUUCAAAUGAAAAGAUAGAAGUCACAGAAAGAAUCCAAAUCUAAACAGUGAAAAUGGAUUCCCACAUGAUACCACCCUCCCUACGUGUUUAUAUAUCGGUACUUAUGUUUUACAUUUUCUCAUUUGAAUCAUUCACUGUGAAUCUGUUAAAAUGUACCGUCCAUUUCCUGAGUAAAAUCCUAAAACAACUAA